ACCCGCGGUCACCACCCGCGGCCGCGGGGCGGGACCGCGGGUCCCCUGAGCAUCCCCCACGUUUGAAGGCCGCGGACGCGGGCCGUGACCGCGGGAAAAGGGCGGGGCUUCCCCCAAGUGGGCCCCAGACGCGAUUUUAGCCCCAAAACUCCAUUUUUUCCCUUCUUUUCUAACAUCAUUCACCACACACACCCACUUCAUCUUCCCCAACACUCCAUUUCAAAACCCUAGCCUCCAUUCUCUACCAUUUUUCCUCUCUUCCACACACAAGAACAACACCAAAAUCAAAGAAAGAAGGGGAAGACUUGGAAAGGAGCUCAUCAAGACUACAUGAUUGAAGAUCAAGAUUAUAGGAUUUGUCUAUGAAUCUCUAUCUCUCUAUAUCUUUAUUUAUGUUUUCUUAUGACUUGAGAUUUGCUUUUAUUAUGAAUAUGCUUGGCUAAAAUCUCUUAUCUUAGGGAUUAGAUUAGAUGGAUUUGUAAUGGAUUGAUUUCUUUGUUCUAUAUAUAUCUUGAUUGUGC
RNAcentral lists this long non-coding RNA (521 nucleotides) under Salvia miltiorrhiza (redroot sage). Its description in RNAcentral is "long non-coding RNA (SMIL_LNC002406)". The record is from RNAcentral. Lineage: Eukaryota; Viridiplantae; Streptophyta; Magnoliopsida; Lamiales; Lamiaceae.